AUUGAACGCUGGCGGCAGGCUUAACACAUGCAAGUCGAGCGGGGUGAUGGUGCUUGCACUAUCACUUAGCGGCGGACGGGUGAGUAAUGCUUAGGAAUCUGCCUAUUAGUGGGGGACAACAUCUCGAAAGGGAUGCUAAUACCGCAUACGUCCUACGGGAGAAAUCAGGGGAUCACUUGUGACCUUGAGCUAAUAGACGAGCCUAAGUCGGAUUAGCCAGUUGGUGGGGUAAAGGCCUACCAAGGCGAGGAUCUGUAGCGGGUCUGAGAGGAUGAUGCGCAAGACUGGGACGAAGACACGGCCCAGACUCCUACGGGAGGCAGCAGUGGGGAAUAUUGGACAAUGGGGGGAACCGUGAUCCAGCCAUGCCGCGGGUGUGAAGAAGGCCUUAUGGUUGUAAAGCACUUUAAGCGAGGAGGAGGCUCUUUUAGUUAAUACCCAAGAUGAGUGGACGUUACUCGCAGAAUAAGCACCGGCUAACUCUGUGCCAGCCGCCGCAGUAA
This 503-nucleotide ribosomal RNA is filed under the name uncultured bacterium. RNAcentral describes it as "partial 16S ribosomal RNA". It matches the Rfam family "Bacterial small subunit ribosomal RNA", at positions 30 to 523 of the family's 1533-position model. The record is from RNAcentral.